Eleginops maclovinus (Patagonian blennie) is the source of this 1139-nucleotide long non-coding RNA. RefSeq lists it as uncharacterized. The record is from RefSeq and is a predicted model, not a curated record. Lineage: Eukaryota; Metazoa; Chordata; Actinopteri; Perciformes; Eleginopidae. The transcript is spliced from 3 exons.
UAAAUGGGCAAUAAACCAAUUGCAGUGGUGGAUGAAGUUUUCCUCUCCCUAAGUUCAGUAAAAGUACUAAUAACACCCUGUGAAAAUACUCCACUGUAAGUGAAAGUCCUGCAUUUAAAACCUUACUUAAGUCAAAGUAUGUGAGUAUUAUCAGCAAAAUGUACUCAAAAGUAUCUAAAGUAAAAACACUUACUGUGCAGUUAAAAUUGUCCCAGUCAGUAUUUUACUAUUUACAGGAUGCUUUCUGUAUUCAUAUUACUGCUGCAUUAAUAUGUUGCAUUUUACAUCUGUACAUCAUAAUGGCUGAACAUGGGGAACACUCCUGAAGGCUAGAGUGAUAGAGCAAGCCAAAAACCCCAGCAAGACACCCCAGCUUGACUACCUCAUCCAGUGUGCAAAGGAGAACACUGAUGAUGAUGAAGAGGUCCCAGCAGGUGCUCUCCCCCGUUCUUCUUCGGUUGGGACAGCGACAUGGCCUCACUGCUACUGCUGGUCUACCUUCUGCCACCGCCACCAAGUCGAAAUAAGGGAGCUGUGAAAAUCAGGGUCCGAGAAGCUGUGGACCGUGUAGUCAAGUUCCAUAAGACAUGUCGCAGCCUUCAGGAGUAUGCCGGUCCAGAUCAGCGGAGGCAACCCUACAUCCUAGCAGUUGGGACCACAAGAAACAGCAUCUAUGAGUACUACAUUGCGUUGGAUGGUGAGCUCCUUCCCUGCGAGGCUAAGUCUUCCCUGUCAGCUUUUGAUGAACUUUUAAAAACACAUUAUUGGUUUGGGAUCUCCUAUGACCAGGCCUUAAACGGCAUGUACACAUUUGUGCAGACCACCAUCUACAACAUCGAUGUAGGACUUUAGUUGGUCUGUCAUCUCAAGCUUUCACAUGCAUUUUAUCCUGGUAAGAAGUUUCAAUUGUUGUGUUACCAGAAUGGAUGCCACCAGAGAUUUUGCACUUUUUCAGGCUUCAGGAAACAUCUCCAUAGCAAACAUAGUGCUGAUCGUGAUAAGGCCUAAUGAGCAAAUGUUCAAAUGCUCACCUACAGUAUGACCAAUGUAUUUUGUGGGUUGGUUGAGGUUGCUACUAAUUAGAUGUUAUCUAAGUAGAUUUAUUUUUUGAAAAUAAACGCAUGUUUUCAAUAAUCUAA